Molecule: long non-coding RNA, 7387 nt
Filed under: Cucumis sativus (cucumber)
Lineage: Eukaryota; Viridiplantae; Streptophyta; Magnoliopsida; Cucurbitales; Cucurbitaceae
Description: long non-coding RNA (CSAT_LNC002262)
Source: RNAcentral
UCAUCAAUGCAGGUUUUAAUGGAAGAUAACAAAAAGACACAGAAGGCGGGUUCAAAGAGGAAAGUGGUUUUCACUUCCCUAAUAACGAAACUCACCUUUACACUCUAGGGUUCAAAGAGGAAAGUCAUUUUCAAAGCAAAUGAUUGCCAAAACCCAACUAGGAAGUGACAAAGGAAGCCCCCAAGAAACACAACCAUUAAUUUCCAUGAAAGGACCACAACAACAAAAUAUUUAUAAAGUCAAACAAAAUGGUUCUCCUUCAGUGAAAGAGAAAAUUUCUCACCUAUCACAAUUCACCUACAGUAAAAAUAUUGAAAAGGAAGGGAAUUUGAUUAUGGAUUUAAACAGCAAAGGGUUGAAGCUAAACUCAGGCAGCUCAAAGCUUCAAAAAUUCGAUAGAUUGUCUCUCUCCUAUCCCAGAUAUUAUUCUCCCUCAUCACUCUCAAGACAUGAUUCGUUAAAGCCUAUCAGAACACAAAAUUCAAAAACAGUUUAAAUCCAGCAAGCAAAAGGAAAGAAAACUAGACUAAGGGAUUGGUAAAAAAAGAACAAGCUCAAACUCUUGCCAGUGUUGUAAGAAAUUGACUCAUCAACAGAUGCAGAAGCAGAAACUGUGAAAUUAAUUGGAUCAUUUUUAUGAUGGCUCAAGCAACAAAAUUGCAGGAUCUUUUGUUUUGAAAUGUUAAGGGUUGGGCUCUCCCCAAAAAAAGAGCCCAAAUAAAAGCAGUAAUUUUAAAUUAUGAUCCUCAUGUUGUCAUUCUUACUUAAAAUAAACUCCAAAAUAUUAGCAUUCAUCUCAUCAAAUCUCUUUGGAGAAAAAAAAAAAAAAAAAACAAUUAAAUGGCAUUUGAGAGUUUCAUCUGUUAGUUCUGGAGGCAUUCUGGUUGUUUGGGAUGAUGUUCAACAUUCUUGUAUUCGUAACUUUGAAGGUUCUUUUACACUCUCCCUCAAUUUUUAAGGAAAAGUCAAAAUCCAUUGUAAAUCUUUAGGGAGAUGUGUGAAAUCUCAUAGGAGUUUGGUCUAAGUGUCAUUGGUACGACGCCUCCGUUCUUUCUCUUAACUUUAGAGCUUUGUUAGAUUAGGUUGUUCUAGACUUCACUCUAGCCUUCCAAGCUUGUAACUUUUCUCUUCAUUAAUAGAUUUGGCAUGCCUUUCUAGGGCUCUUCCUAGAUUGAUUUGACUUGAUUUCUUUAUAAAAAAGAAUUAAACGUUCAUUCUUAGAAAUUCUUUCUUUCUUUUUUUUACACAAAUUUAUGUUCUUUCAAAUUCUAAGCUAAAUGUUGAAAAUAAAAUAAAAUAUUAGAUUUAGAAUACAAAUUUAAAAAAUAAAAAAACCUUCACAACACCACUCACAUAAUCCUUCCCCCAAACAUAUCUUAUCAUAACUCUACCCACAUAAUUCUUCCCCGAACACAUCUUAUCAUAAUACUACAUUCAUAAACCUUUCCCCCAAACACAACUCAUCAUAACACCUCUUUUAUCAUAACUCCAACCCUUUGAUAAACCAACCCUUUUUCCAAACAGCCCCUAAGUGUUUGCAUGUCGUGACACAUGGAAACCACCCAAUGACAAGGCUCUAAACACCUAAGGCACUCCUUUAUUCGCCUAACCUCCAAACCAUCUCACAUAGCCUACACCUAACUCGCAUGAGUUAGUAGGUCGCAUGCCUCAACGCAUAGAGGAUCCCUUGACACUUCUUGUCACCUAGUUUUUCCCACAAAAACCUCUUCUCUCAUGCUUUCAAGCCCUUGGCCGCAUAGGCAUCUCGUCUAGUCCUUAUCUUGUCCGCAAGGCACAUCUAACUGUCUAGUAUGCCUUGCUUGGUCGCAUCUAACUGUCUAACUGUCUAGCUUUGUUCUUAGAGGUUAUUUAGACAACCUUGACCACUUAGUUUAACCUCAAAAUGCCUAAUAUCAUACAAAACACAUAAUAUCAUGCAAAAUGCCCCACCCAUACUUUGGCUAUCUACUUGACACUUUGCUAAUUUUUCCAAAUUUUCGUUCGUCCAACAACCAUAACACUCUUAUAAUGACACACUAAGAAUAAGAAACCAACGAUGACACUUAGGCCACUACCACAACUUAGUAAACCUUUUUUUAACCUUUUUUUGAACUACUACUUCAACUAAUCUUGAAUCUAGCUUAUCCAUUUGUUUGAUCGGAAGGCUAUAGUUCAAUGUUUACAAAUUUUUAGUUACAUUUAAAAAAAAAAAAAUUACAACCAUCUUGCAACUCCCAAAAUUGAAUUUUUAACUCCAAUAUAUGCAUGUUUUAGGCAUUUUAAAGAUAUAAACAUGUUUUAGCAAGUUUUUAGUUAUAAAAUUUUUUAACUCCAAAUCAAUUUUAAGCACGUUUUAGCUUAUGAUUUGUUUGUGAGAUAUUUGCGAUAUAGCUAAACAUUCAUUAAAACAUGUGUAAUUUCACCUUAAAUCACAUCUAAAUCACUUAAAACAAUUAUAGUAUGUAAUCGAGAUUUUAAAACUACUCUAAAUCACCUAAGCAAGCAUGACGUAUUUUUAAGUUUGAAAGUUGAGAGAUCUCUGUAAGAUGUUGCAAGAUUAAAAAAAAAAGUAUCUAAGAUCCUAUCUUAAUAUGUCUAAACUCAUCCUAAAUCACUUAAAACACAUAUAAGAAUGAUUUGGAAUUGGCUGUUUUCAAGUUUGGAAGUUGGAAACUUACUCCGAGAUAGUGUGAGAUAUUGCAAAAUAAAAUAAAAAACCACCUAAAAAAUAUUUACAACAUGAACAAAACAACCCAAAAUCAUAUAAAUGUUCCUACAAUUAAAAUGGUGGAAAGGGAAAGAAGGAGGACAAUUGUCAUUAAGAAAUUAAGGCAUGAGAACAAUUUUCGCAUUUCACUAUUUAUUUAUCCCAAAACUCGACUUUUUGAAAUGUUAUCCUACAACUUUUAGACUCCAUUGAAAAUGUCUUACUCUUAGUAAUUACCCAAUUUUCAUCGUCGUAUUGACAUUUUAAUAGAAUACUUUUAUAUAUUUUUUUUCAAGUUGGUGAAUAAACAUUUCCAUUAUAUUGUAAUUUUUUUUUAUUAAAAAACCAAUAAAAUAUCAAUUAUAUGUGUAUAAUAUAAAUAAUUAAAAUAUUUUUUAAAAAUAUAACAAUGAGGAAAAUUAUCAAUUUACACCCCUCAACUUUGGAUCAACUAGCCAAAAACUUCUAUAAAUGUAUCCAUUUAAAAACUUACAUGAUUCUAUUAAUUUAAACUCUCUCUUAUGUUUUAUUUAUAUACAUUUAUGAAAGUUGAAGAUUUAAAUUGAUAUAUUUACGAAAGCUUGGAGUUUUAAUUGAUACACUUAUAAAAGUUCAUAGUUUAAAUUGAUAUAAACUAUUAGAUUAGAGUUUAAAUUGAUACAACUAUACAAUUAUUAGUUCAACGUUUAAACGAGUACAACACAUAGUUGAGAAGUAUAAAUUGAUAUUUACCUUAGUAAAUAUUUUAACUUAUUCUUAAAAGCAUAGAAUACUUAUUUAUUAAUUAAAAUAAUUAAUAUGUUUAUUUUUUAGUGAUAUUUAUUGACAUUGAUAAUUUUCUUUUGUCUGAAGUUAAAAUUGUGACGUUUUCGCCAACAUUCAAAUUUAUUCAAAUAUUAAAAUAAACAGAGACUACGUCUUAAUAAACAGAUGCAAAAGUAAUAUAAAAACAAAUCGAUACUACAUCUUAACGAUGGGAUGCAAAAUUUAAAGAAUUAUAGUCAAUGAAAAGCAGUUAAAAAACUGAUAGUCACAUCUUAUACCAACAAAAUACAUCUUUUUUGAUACGAUAUUUUAGUCAUAAAAACUUCAAAGUUAUAAAUUGUUUGGUUUGGAGCAAUUUUAUAUUCGAUAAACACUUAAAAUAUUUUUAGGGAGCAUGUGAUGAACAUUGACAAAAACGUCUUGGAAAAAAUGCAACUUCAAACUUGAUCAAUUUGAAAUUUUAUCAUGCUUCCCAAAUUGUACAGGUUUUCUAUUCUAGUACACAUUCAAGUUUCAAAACUCAAAUGUAUGGUAAAAGGAAAAACAUAAUGAAAAAAAUGGAUUAUUUGAAAAAUAAAUAAAUUAAAAAGGUCUCUUACUCAACUGCGAAAAAGUAAACUAAAGAGUGGUAAGGUAUUCUUUUGUUACCUUUGAAACCAUUUUUGUUAUUUAACAAUUUUCAAUAAAUUUUUUUUUAAUUUAAUUUAUUAUUCAAAGUAGGUAUGGAUAUAUUUCUAAAUUAAUAAAAAUAUCUAUAGAUACUUGGAGGCUAAUUUUUCAAAAAAGAAACCAACAGCAAUGACUAUUUUAAGAUUUAUUGAAAUGACUGAUACUUUUGUAACUAAUAAUUAAAUAUAUAACAUUAUUUUAAAAAAUUACAAAUAAAUCAAAAUAUAUUUGGGUUAAAAUCUAUAAUUAAGAAAUUCUUAUUAGUAAUAGAUUUUUAUGGUUGAUAAACUUUAUAGAGUUAGAUUUCAAUUUUGCAAUAUCUACAAAUUCUUUGCAUUAUAUUAUAUUUUGGUAAUACAUCAGAGUUCGUUGGUAUAUUUGUCAUUGUUCACUUAAUAAAAAUAUAAAAAUUAAAAUGGACAUUUAAAACCAUAAAUCGAAAUAGAUAGUUGAAAACUAGUCUACGACUAACUUACUAUUUCUUUUUGAUUUGUUUACUAUUUCCUACCUAGACUAAAAUAGUUUGCACAACAAUAAAUUGAUAAGAACAUAUACUACACUUGAUCUUAAUCAAAAGGUCAAGAAAAGUCUACAUUUCAGAUGCAUACUAUUACCAUAACCUAUAAACUAUAAUAAAUUUGAACUAUAACAAUCAGUUCCAACACCCAUAAAAGAUAUUUAUAAAAAGAAAAAAAAAAUGCAUGUAUUAAAAGAAAAUAAAAGCUCAAUGAAAUAGUGACAGAGGAGGAUAAUGGAGAUGAGUUCUGCACGUGUUUGAACAAUUUAGCCACCAAGUAAUGAUUGUUUUCAAUCAGAAACAAGACUGAUAGAAAGAGUCUUAAGACAGAGCACUGUUGUUUUCAGACUCUAUAGGGAUACUAGACUUGAAGACUAUCUUUAGACUUUUGGGGAAACAUAAAUUGACACUAAAAAAUAGAAAAACAAACAAAAAAAAAGAAGAGUGGGGCUAUUCUUUUCUUUCUAUGUCAUUAGUUUUCCCUAUUGGAUCAUUUGCACAUGUGACCCUCUUCAAUACGAAAUCAUCCUCACCCUUCAUCUGUUCUUGACACGUACCACACAUAUCGACACUACCAAAUUCUGUUCCACCAAAACUUUAAUAAUAUAAUGCAUAUUGGGCAGAGAGUGGAAAAUUCAUCCCAUCUACUUAUUCCCCCAUUAAGGUUUUCUUUAGCCUAAGCUUCUCCCUACACAUUUUUAUAGUUGUUUUUUCACGUCGGUCUCAACUCUAAAGGAAUUUAUGCCUCGUUGACAUGUCAAGAAGUUGAGUUCAUAGCUAAUAGGUAAAGAAAACUUUUACUUUUGGUGUGUUCUGGUGAUCUGUUGGUGAGAAGUAUAAGUGGACUAGAGACUCUCAUACGAGUAUGGGAAAGAUUCUCGUCUCUUUCUUUUCCUCUUAUAUUUCGUUAUAUCCUCGUUUGUUCAAGUACAAUGUAACUGACAAAGUAAUGGUAAAGAACAAACCAAGCAGGGGAAAAUAGUUUUUUAAUCCAAUUUUCUAUACAUAGUUAACUACAUACUAAACUCUUUUUUCCCUCUUUUCUUUUUAAUAUUUUUGAAUUCUUAUUACGGUGUGAUUAGAGUGGGGUGCCAAGGUUCAAGUAUUGCUAUUCUUUUCCUCCUCAUUUUCUCAUUUUUUAGAACUCUCUUUUUUCUUUUUUUUUUUCAGAUUUUACUGACUUUUUUCUACAAAAUGGCGUUAAUAUAAAGCGGCUAUUCCCUGUCAUCCGAGUGCCCAAUAUCAGAGUGAAAUAGAAGCCCUUCCUUAUAUGUAUAUGUUUUCAUAUCCACAUGUAUUUACUAAUCAUGUAGCUCCUCUAGGCACAAUCCAGAGCAGUGAAAUGGAAGGGGAGGUAGUAAAGUCCAGGUUCAAAAGGGUUUGUGUGUUUUGUGGGAGCAGCACAGGAAAGAGGGACUGCUAUAGAGAUGCAGCCAUUGAUUUAGCUCAGGAGCUGGUACUGCUUUGAAAACCUCUCUUAAUAUCACCCAUUCACGAAAGCCAAUAUGUCUUUUUCACUUUCCCCCUUCCUCCCUUUCUACGUGUAUAUACAAUUAUGCUGUUGUUUCUCUAUGCAGGUUUCCAGAAGAUUGGGGCUUGUUUAUGGAGGUGGAAGCAUUGGGCUAAUGGGUCUGGUUUCACAAGCUGUUCAUCAUGGUGGCGGCAGAGUCAUGGGGUAAUUGAUCGAAAAAGCUUGAAUUUCUAUUCUGAAAAUGGUUUGAUGUUUCAAAGUUUUAAUUUUACAUCUGUUUGUUUAAUUUGUUUGGGUUUGGUUGAUUUGCAGUAUCAUUCCCAGGACAUUAAUGAACAAAGAGGUUAGAAAUAUGCCAAUAUCCUAAUUUGUUUUGGGUAAUUGAAAAUUCAAUCAGCCAACACUUAACUUGUUAUUCUACAAAAUGAUAAUUUCUUGGGGGAAAAAUUACAGAUAACUGGAGAAACAGUGGGGGAGACAAGACCAGUAGACAACAUGCACCAAAGGAAGGCAGAAAUGGCCCGCCAUUCAGAUUGCUUUAUAGCCCUACCAGGUCCCAACCAUUCCCUUUUCCCUUUCCUAUUCAGAAACACAAUCCCGCACUUCUUUUUUACAUUUCUUUUCAUAGUCCCCUUUUUAAAAAAGACCCCUGAUAAUGGGUUUCAUUUUCCCUUCACUGCACUGAUUUUCAGGUGGGUAUGGAACUAUGGAAGAACUGUUAGAAGUCAUCACAUGGGCUCAACUAGGCAUCCACGACAAACCAGUAAACUCUACAAAAAUUACCUCAUUAAACUCUGCCAGAAAGCUUUGUUUUGAUCUCACGACCUUUAAGUUUGUUGUGCAAUUUCUCUUCCUCAGGUUGGGUUGCUGAAUGUGGAGGGCUACUACAACAACCUCCUCACUUUCAUCGACCAAGCAGUGGACGAUGGUUUCAUAAAACCAUCACAACGCAAGAUCAUAGUGUCAGCACCCAACGCCAAGGACCUGGUUCAGAAACUAGAGGUCAGUCAUUAAGUCAGACAUUUCAUCGAACACAACUUCUAAAUUCUACGAUUAAAUUGUAAGCAGAGUAUUUGACUAAUGAUGAUCAUGGAUUGAUUUAUUUAGGAAUACGUGCCUGUACACGAGGAAGUGAUGGGCAAACCGAGAUGGGAAAUUGAGCAGCCACAGCCACAGCAACCGAAAAACCAAGUGGGGUUCGAACCCAAAACUUUCCACGCUCAGAUCGCCCUGUAAAGUUGAAACAUGAAAAGAAAGG